RNAcentral lists this small RNA (5602 nucleotides) under Pan troglodytes (chimpanzee). Its description in RNAcentral is "retained intron". The record is from RNAcentral. Lineage: Eukaryota; Metazoa; Chordata; Mammalia; Primates; Hominidae.
AGACAUGGCCGGCGAAGGAGAUCAGCAGGACGCUGCGCACAACAUGGGCAACCACCUGCCGCUCCUGCCUGUACCUAGGCGCUGAUAUGGAAGAAUUUCAUGGCAGGACUUUGCACGAUGACGACAGCUGUCAGGUGAUUCCAGUUCUGCCACAGGUGAUGAUGAUCCUGAUUCCCGGACAGACAUUACCUCUUCAGCUUUUUCACCCUCAAGAAGUCAGUAUGGUGCGGAAUUUAAUUCAGAAAGAUAGAACCUUUGCUGUUCUUGCAUACAGCAAUGUACAGGAAAGGGAAGCACAGUUUGGAACAACAGCAGAGAUAUAUGCCUAUCGAGAAGAACAGGAUUUUGGAAUUGAGAUAGUGAAAGUGAAAGCAAUUGGAAGACAAAGGUUCAAAGUCCUUGAGCUAAGAACACAGUCGGAUGGAAUCCAGCAAGCUAAAGUGCAAAUUCUUCCCGAAUGUGUGUUGCCUUCAACCAUGUCUGCAGUUCAAUUAGAAUCCCUCAAUAAGUGCCAGAUAUUUCCUUCAAAACCUGUCUCAAGGGAAGACCAAUGUUCAUAUAAAUGGUGGCAGAAAUACCAGAAGAGAAAGUUUCAUUGUGCAAAUCUAACUUCAUGGCCUCGCUGGCUGUAUUCAUUAUAUGAUGCUGUAAGUAACUUACCUUAAAUUUACUUUAUAUAUGGUAGGCCAUGUCAUAAUUAAGGGUCAUUAAAAAACAAAGGUUUAGUUUUUCCAGUUUCUAGUGCCUUAUAACUUAAGAUAUCGUAAGAGUGGUAGCUCACACCUGUAAUCCCAGCACUUUGGGAGGCCAAGGCAGGGGGAUUGCUUGAAGCCAGGCAUUCAAGACCAGCCUGGGCAACAUGGUGAAACCCCAUCUCUACAAAUACAAAAAUCAGCCAGGUUUGGUGGCAUGUGGCUGUAGUCCCAGCUGCUUGGGAGGCUGAGGUGGAAGGAUUGAUUGAGCCUGGGAGGUCAAGGCUGCCGUGAGCUGAGAUUGUGUCACUGUACUCCAGCCUGGACAACAGAGCAAGACUGUCUCAAAAGAAAAAAAAAAGGUAUCACAAGACUCUUUAGAGUUUUAUUAAGCAUGUGAAAUUUUGUUGGGUUGGGUGAUAGUUACAUUUAGAACAUUAAAGCAUCCAUAUUUUACAGUUUUGGUUUUUCUCUAAACAAGUAUAUUAACUUACGUCUCUUGAUCAUUAGUCUAUUAAUUAAUGCAUCCAGGAGGGUUUUUGCUCCUUAAAGUUUAACACUAGGCAUUGCCACAUUUUGCAAAACUAAGGGACAGCGUGAAAUGGUUUAAAGAAUCUGGAUUUCAGAUCAGAGACUGACUUCAGAGUCACUUACUCUGUGGGCCUGGAGCAAAUUACUUCUCCGAGGACCUAUGAAAUGGAUAUAAUGGUAGCUAUUGUACCUGGUGUGCAUAGCGGGCAUUCAAGAAAUGCUAGCCAUUUCCCCUUAAUGAAUCACUGCCCACAAAUCUGGAGUCCUGGGAAAACGCAACAACAUGCACGACACUAAAGGAAACUGCAGUUGAUCUCUGCUCUUUAGCAGCUUUUCAGCAAUUACAAAGACACAAUAUAUGAGUUUUUGCAUAUGUUUUGCAUAUGCUUGUGAAAAUUAUGUAGUAAAUAGGUGCCAAGGUAUGUAGAUAGCAAGUGCUAGUGCAAUUUAUAGGUGCCAUAAUCCCUAUGGACUGAGUCAGAAGUGGCCUAAUAGAAGGCAGAAGAGAGGCCAGUUCCAAGCAGGGGCAUAGAACAGAACAAUCUGCAAGGGAGUUGGGAGCAUAUACCGCUGGGAUAAGACAGUGAGUGAGAAAAGGCUGGAAGGCAGACAGUGCUGGGCAAAGGAGCUGGAGCUUGAUCAUUGCUGCGUAAGAAAAUGGAGGCAUUUAAACUGGGACUGAGAUGGGACUGAGUGAUUAAAUUGCUACCAAUGUUAGUUUUAAGAGUUGAAAAGCUUAAUAGUAAAUUUUAAUAAGCCCAUGAACUUGAUUAUGGCUACCUUUAUUUUAAACAAGGAGACCUUAAUGGACAGAAUCAAGAAACAGCUACGUGAAUGGGAUGAAAAUCUAAAAGAUGAUUCUCUUCCUUCAAAUCCAAUAGGUAUGAAAAGUUAGUUUCCUGCCUGGAGCCUGGGAUGUCUUGCUAUAAAAACUAGCUUUCUCAUGGAUGCGAUCCAAUUAUAUCUUCUAGAUUUUAAGACUGAUUAAAACAUUUUAAUUCUGAAAAGCAUAAUUUCCUUUGAGCAGUUGAAAAAAAUGAGUAUUUUAAAAUUAAUUGCAAUAAAAUCCUCAUAUUCUGUGAGCACUCCAAUUUUAGACAAGUUUUCCCUAAAAAGUUCAAAUUGCAGGAAGUGGCUGUCAUCCAAAAACACUUCCUGUGUAAGGACUCCUUUCCCUGUUCUUCAAGGUGCCUUUAAAAGAAGUGAGUCUAGUUCCAGGACUUGCCUUAAUUAUAGAUACUCUCUUUAUCUGUUUAUAAGGUAUAGUUUAGUUAUUUUUCUAGUCUCUUGGCAAAUAACUUCUAACAUGGAUUUGAGUUCAUGUUUAACAUAAAAGGAUUUUACCAAAAAAAGUAUAGGAAAAGCAAUGAAAUUCAGAGCUUCUGAAAAGUGUAUCUUUGACAGCUGGUAUAUUUUUGUAUUGUUUAUACUUGUAUAAAAUGUGUAACCUUAAAGAGAAGGGUUUAUUUCAAAAGGAUAUUAUCCGAUUUGUAAGUUAUCUGAUGCUUAUCUGACUCCUAAGUUUAAAACUUGAAAAACCAUGUCUUGAAGAUUUUUCUUACAGAGUAGCUGCUUGUCUUCCUAUUGAUGAUGUAUUGAGAAUUCAGCUCCUUAAAAUUGGCAGUGCUAUCCAACGACUUCGCUGUGAAUUAGACAUUAUGAAUAAAGUGAGUAAAGUGAAUAUGUUUUUGAUGCCCAUGUUUUAUUCAGGCUGGAGAACUAGGAUGCUCUGUUGGGGCCAAUGGAGCUCUGUAUAGAGUCCAGUAAUGUAGUCAUGCAAUUCAGAUUUCAAUUGGGAUCUUACAGAUAAACUCAUUGUUUUGUGUUUGUCAAAUAUGAAUACAUUUAUCAACUUAGUGAAAAAUAACUUGAUUUCUGCAUGGAAAUAUCCAAGGUUAUAUAUCACUAUUCCUUUACUCUAGAGAAGGUCAUGUAGUUUUAUGUAAAUAUGUGGCAGAUCUCAGUUUCAGUGAUUUUCGUGCUCCAUCUUUAAAAGUGUUUUUGAAUGCUUGGAAGGAAAAUGUGAUAUUCAGAGAGAGCAAUAUCUUUAUAAGUUUCUUGAUGAUCUAUGUGAUUACAUGAUAAAGUGAAUGCCAGCUUUUCCUACCAAUAAUUUUUCUCUCAAAUUUUUUAGUGUACUUCCCUUUGCUGUAAACAAUGUCAAGAAACAGAAAUAACAACCAAAAAUGAAAUAUUCAGUUUAUCCUUAUGUGGGCCGAUGGCAGCUUAUGUGAAUCCUCAUGGAUAUGUGCAUGAGACACUUACUGUGUAUAAGGCUUGCAACUUGAAUCUGAUAGGCCGGCCUUCUACAGAACACAGCUGGUUUCCUGGGUAUGCCUGGACUGUUGCCCAGUGUAAGAUCUGUGCAAGCCAUAUUGGAUGGAAGUUUACGGCCACCAAAAAAGACAUGUCACCUCAAAAAUUUUGGGGCUUAACGCGAUCUGCUCUGUUGCCCACGAUCCCAGACACUGAAGAUGAAAUAAGUCCAGACAAAGUAAUACUUUGCUUGUAAACAGAUGUGAUAGAGAGAAAGUUAUCUAACAAAUUGGUUAUAUUCUAAAAUCAGAUCUGCUUUGGAAAUUAUUGCCUCUGAUACAUACCUAGGUAAACAUAACAUUACUUGGAGGGUUGCAGUUUCUAAGUGAAACUGUAUUUGAAACUUUUAAGUAUACUUUUGGAGAGCAUGAACGGCAGUCUAGAAUACCAGAAACAUCUACUUGGGUAGCUUGGUGCCAUUAUCCUGUGGAAUCUGAUAUGUCUGGUAGUGUGUCAUUGAUGGGACAUGAAGACAUCUUUGGAAAUCAUGAGAUUAUUUCCUGCGUUAAAAAAAAAAAAAAUCUUAAAUUCCUACAAUGUGAAACUAAUAAUUUGAUCCUGCUGUAUGGGACAGCAUAUCUGUACCAGUGCUCUAAAUAACAAAAGCUAGGGUGACAAGUACAUGUUCCUUUUGGAAAGAAGCAAGGCAAUGUAUAUUAAUUAUUCUAAAAGGGCUUUGUUCCAUUUUCUUUAACUUCUCUGAGAUACUGAUUUGUAAGUUUUGAAAAUUAGUUAAAAUAUGCAGUUUUUUGAGCCCACGAAUAGUUGUCAUUUCCUUUAUAUGCCUGUUAGUAAAAAGUAGUAUUGUGUAUUUGCUCAGUAUUUGAACUAUAAGCCCAUUUAUACUGUUCCAUACAAAAGCUAUUUUUCAAAAAUUAAUUAAUUUGAACCAAAACUACUACUAUAGGGAAAAGAUGCCAAAACAUGUCCCCUCACCCAGGCUAAACGUGAUACUGUAUUAUUUUGUUCAAUGUAAAUUGAAGAAAAUCUGUAAGUAAACCUUCAGUGUGAAACUAAACAUGUUCUUUGUUCAAAUAAUGUAAAAAUAUCUACUCAUAAUUUUAAAAAGUUCUAAAAAGACUACUUUGCCACCUACCUCUUUGCUUAUAUUCAAGGGUUUUAGUGGGUCCUUCCUUCCACAUUUGUAUGAUAACUUUCGUUUUAUUGAUAUUCCUUUGCUACUUUAAAACUAAUCAAUCAAUCAAUCAGGUUAAAUGUUUACUCAAAUGUAGUAAUAGUAUGAGGCCAAAAUACAUGCCUUGAAGGUGGAGUGAAAUCAGUUGAGUAUCACAUUGCAUAUUUAUGUAAAUAGAGUAAAUGAAAAUUCAAGAAUACUUCCAUUCAGGAUAUGCCCCUGCCUUAUUUUUUCUAAGCUCUACUUUUACUACUUUACUUUAAUAAUUUUGGGUUUGUGUGACUUCACUGGUCUGGUUGUUCCUAUAGUUCUUACACUGCACUAAAACUUACUCCAAGUGGAUCCCAGAAAGUUCUUGUCAGUAGCAUAGUACAUCUCUGUAGGUUGAAAUCUAAACCAGUUGCAAUAAGUAAGUUACCUUUUCCCCCUGAAAAGUUAUAAUUUCAGUAUGUCCCAUACUGUUUACUAGCAAAUAAAAUUUUCUGAUCUGUAAAAACACACAUAUACUACUACUGAAAAUGGUUUUACACGUGACAAAACCAGACCUGACAGCCAAAUCUGCAUCCUUUCUAUACAGAAAUAGUAUGUAUUACAUGACGCUGGGUCUAAAUCUGUAUUUUGGCAGUACUUCUUUACUUAAAUAUUUCAAAGUAUUAUUUUAUAAUGCAUCUAAUUACUGACCUGUAUGCAGUCAUUUCUGAGGCUUUCUUGCAUCAUAGCCCCUGUGACAUUUCCUCUUUCUUAGAAAUAUUACACUCUACAAAAUUGUUUUAUCAAGGUCCAAAAUUACUAUUUGCUCAUAGAGUACAAAGAUUUUUAUGACUGGCUCCACAGAAAGGAAAUAAAUUAUGAAAUGUCAAUAUGGCAGCUGAAAUUAUAGCAGCUGAAAUAAACAGUUUGUAUUAUACAUUUUAUUUACCUGAUGAAA